Molecule: non-coding RNA, 660 nt
Organism: Pantherophis guttatus
Lineage: Eukaryota; Metazoa; Chordata; Lepidosauria; Squamata; Colubridae
Source: RefSeq, a predicted model, not a curated record
GAGGUAUCUGGGGUUUUCCUCCAUUGCCUGCCUGGCAGCCACGGUCGGGGUGUGGAGGCGGCUCUCAGUGCUGCAGGGCAAGAUGGAUCUUUUCGGGAAAGCAAGCCCACCGCCGGACGGCUUGCCCUCCGCAUCCUUCCAGCUAUUAGUUUAUGGUUAAUCGCUUCUUAAAGAGGCAGAGAAGACAAGAAGUUUCCACGAUAUUCUGCCUCAGCUAUUUUUGGAACACUAUGCAGGCAUAGAAACCCCCUUUGGCACGUGGCUCUUCACAAUCUCCUCACCAGAAGCUGGGACCACACGGCCUCAAGACUUAAUUCAGAUAAAGAUGCUGCUGCCUUGAAUCUUUGUUGAAGGAAAAUGUUCCUUCCAUGCUUUGCACCACCUUAAUUCAGUGUAGCACUUGAAUAAAUAUCUCACUCCACUGGAGUGGAUUAGUUUUCCUUCAUGCAAGAAUACACAUAUGCAAUUCUAAUAGAGGAAGACCUACCAGCAUGUAAAUCUUAAAAUAAUUAACAAUCUGAAAUUUUAAAACAGCCAGGAUGUACCUCUGCUUAACAAAUCUAGCAACAGCGAUAGAUUCAUCCGAUAGAUUCAGUCUUCUGGGUGACACACACCCCCCGAAAAUGUUAAUCUGAGCUAAUAAAAGGACUCUGCAAUUUC